Molecule: long non-coding RNA, 396 nt
Organism: Panicum hallii
Lineage: Eukaryota; Viridiplantae; Streptophyta; Magnoliopsida; Poales; Poaceae
Exons: 3
Source: RefSeq, a predicted model, not a curated record
GCUUCCGCCGGUUUCCAUUCCACCCCCCAGACAGAUUCAGUGACAGACUCGCCGACCGCCCACACCGACCCAGACAACCCACAGAUUGAUUUGCAGGCAGCGAUGCCGCCGGUGGUCUCGAGAUCCGACAGGAUAGUUCGCCGGACGGCGAUGGUCGGCGCCGCCACCGCCGCCUACUUGCUCCUCACCGCCGACUACGGCCCCAACUACCCCAACCCCAUAAGGAAGCGCAUGGAAUCGUUGGCGCUCUUCUCCGAACCAGACAGGAGUGGUGUCCACCAGGCUCAACAAGCUGAUACUAAUUCGAAGCCAGAUGGAAAGUAGUAUCGGUGCAUAUCAGUUUCCCCUUGUUUCCUUGUUUCCAUGUCCAUGCAUAUUCAUCUAGGAGAGGAACCC